UGCCAUGCCUAAUACAUGCAAGUCGAGCGACAGAGAGAGCUUGCUCCUUUGACGUUAGCGGCGGACGGGUGAGUAACACGUGGGCAACCUACCUUAUAGUUUGGGAUAACUCCGGGAAACCGGGGCUAAUACCGAAUAAUCUAUUUUACUUCAUGGUGAAAUACUGAAAGACGGUUUCGGCUGUCGCUAUAAGAUGGGCCCGCGGCGCAUUAGCUAGUUGGUGAGGUAACGGCUCACCAAGGCGACGCAUGCGUAGCCGACCUGAGAGGGUGAUCGGCCACACUGGGACUGAACACCGGCCAACUCC
This 307-nucleotide ribosomal RNA is filed under the name uncultured bacterium. Its description in RNAcentral is "bacterial SSU rRNA". It matches the Rfam family "Bacterial small subunit ribosomal RNA", at positions 43 to 339 of the family's 1533-position model. The record is from RNAcentral.